This is a long non-coding RNA of Gallus gallus (chicken), 4731 nucleotides long. RefSeq lists it as uncharacterized. The transcript is spliced from 2 exons. Lineage: Eukaryota; Metazoa; Chordata; Aves; Galliformes; Phasianidae. The record is from RefSeq and is a predicted model, not a curated record.
ACAGCGGCGCCGACAGCCGCUCCAGCUGCCACGGGUUGCAGCCGCUCAGGAAGCGCAGCUCCUCUUUGCCGUCCUCCGUGCGCGCUGCAAGAGAGAGGAGGCACUGAGAGAGGGGACGCGGGGAGACCUCGGGCUGCAGCCCCCAGCCCGGUCCGGCGGGCACUCACCCUUCUCGUGCUGCAGCCAGCGGCAGUGCAGGUAGUAGUGAUAGCAGCUCUCGAACUCACGCUCUGUGUAGUUGGGCACGAGGAUGGGGACAAAGGGAUCCAGUGCAUCGAACCCCUCCUGGAAUCCCAAAGGGAAUGAAGGUGCGUUUGAGCCCAAGGAUGAGCAGAGCGUAGACUGCAGCCCUGGGGCUGAGCGCAGCUCCAAACAGAGGUUCUGUUUCCCAACACAAAGGAGAGAAGAGGCCACGGCUGCUCACCUUUCCCAGCAGCUCGUGGGGCAGAUGGGCAGAGCUGGGCUUGAAGAGGGAACCGGUCUGGCUGAGCGUUGUCACCACAGCACCACCGCUCUGAAAUUGGGGCAGAGCACACUGUGAAAUGGGCACGGCUUCCAGACAGUGUGUCCAUGGCACCUCGGAGGCACCUGAGCUCCAAAAUGCUGCACUGUAACUACAAGGAAUUCAUCUCCUACAGCAGAGAGUUCCCCUCAGUUCAACAAAAUCAUAAACUGCAUCAUCAUUACGGGUCGGUAAAUGCUGAGCUCUCAAGAAGUGAGUUACAAACUGUGCAAGGAAGGCAUCACUGUGAGCUGCUGUUAAUUCUUACAGCCACAUGUUGACCCCAAGCAGUCGCACUGCGCUCUCCUCCACUGGAGGAACAGUGGGACAGCUGCAGCUUUACACUGCUCAGCGGGAGCUUUAACUGACAGCUGAAGUGAAGGACCAGAACUCACCCAGUUAUUCAUCACCAUCUUCCUUAGGUUGUACACCAACGUCAGCUCCUCUGGAGAAACCUGAUCAAGAGGGGUGGGUGAGACUUCUUUUUGGCAGCAGUUUCCUACCUGAGGAAUACAUUCCUCUCCCCCCUUUACACGACUUUGGAAGUAUCGUUUGUGUGCAUCAUGCGGGUGCCUUUCUUCUUUGCUCCUACUUAACCCAAUUCAGCCCCAGUAACGUUACAGAGAAACACCCAAACCUUCCCUGCCAUAACACUUCUCUGAACCUUUUCCUUAUUGAGACAACUUCCUUCAGUUAAAUCUGCCUGAAGCCCAGGCUGUAUUUUGCAGCUCCCUCCAAGCUGGCAGAGCCAAACGUGCAUUUCAGCUCGUAUGACUUUACAGGAGGGGUUACUCCUGAACCUAAAUUAAAACAGUGUGCCUCCCCCCUCACAGCACACGCAUUCACACUUUCAUCUUACAGGGCUUUUGUCUUCUUUCUUUAACGUUGUCCUUCCCCAGAGUGCAUUGACUCCGUCCACUGCCACCAGAACUCUGAAUGAACCCAGACAGCACUGCUGCUUGAUCUCUUUCAGCACCACCCCAACCGCGUCGCUGGCGUUCUUCACUCGAGUUAAGCCCUUCAAGGAGGAAAAGGAACAUAACUCAGGUUGUUCUUGUUAAUGCACGCUGCUGGGGCACUGCCUGCCCUUCCAAAGGGGUGGGGAAGGUACGACAGACUUCUGAAGCACUCCUAUUUCUGCCAGCACUGUUCUGAUAGGAGCUGAGACAAAGCGAGGCGGCUCCUUACCUGCUCCACCACCUCCCCCAGCGGCCUGCCCUGCUCUGUGCUGUCUCGUUUGCCCCACACGUAUUUUUGUUGUGUUUUUAUCUGUGUAAGAGAACAACAGCAACGAAAUCAAUGCAGUAAUACAAAGGCGGCCAUCCCCACGGAGGGAUUUAAAUUACUUCUUUUAAAAACUGCAUUCUGGCAACGGGGAGGUUUUGGGUAUGCAACGUGAGUGCAUGCAUCACUGCAUGAAGCACUUCUCAUCAACAGGCACGUGCAGACUUCACCUCCAGCUGCUCACAGAACAGCAGCACACACACACACGUGGACCCAGGGAGGAGAUCCCGUGGUGAUGAUCUCUCAUGGCUACAAACCAACAGCCUGGCAGCCCCUACAAACCUCCUUUAGGAAGUGCUCAUUUGUGGUUCUGAAGUUCCGGAGCCAGAAGGAUGCCUGCAGAGGCUGAUCGAGCCUCUCCUUGUUGUAGGAGGACUGCAUGAGCUCCUUGCAGUUCUUCACCCAAAGAUGAGCUGCAAGCAAAGGAAAGCAGUUGCUAUUUUUAGUCAAAAUGUACAACGUGGGUGCAUCACUUAUCCUCGUUCUGCUGUGUUUAUGGGAGGAGUCCGCCAGCAUGAACGGACAAAGCUCUCCCAUGAGGACAGAGGUGACGACCCAUCAUUUUCAGCGUCCUACCCUACAGCUCCGUCCUGAGGCAGAGUCUUUCCUUCCAGUGACAGAUGGGUGUACCUGACGUGGCCUUACCAUCCGGGAUGUGCAGCACCAGCCAGCCCUGCCGCGCACAGAAGUGAACCACGUGGCACAGCGUCAUGGUUUUCCCAGUUCCCCUCUCACCAUCUCCAACACUGUCUGUCAAGGAAAGUCUGCAACAAAAUGCCUCACGCGUAGCAUUAAGUGGCUGUCAAUUGCUUGGCGAAAAGAAUAAGGGAAGCACAAAGGUCGUAAAAGCAAGGAUGGUGUUCCACCCAGCAGCAAAGCAAGGCUGAAGAAUUCCUCCUCCCCCCUCAGUACUUCAGAGCUGUGAUUCCCAUUCCCUCAGUUGUGUCGAUACCACCAUUGGUGGAACUGUGCCUACACCCAACUGUGGCUUACAACAAAGACUGUCAGCUUUGGGAACCUCUCAGGGUGGCUUUACUGACAACAGAGGGGGCAGAGGCGGCUCCUGAAGGACAAACCACAGUGCUCAGCACACAGCAGAACACUGCCCUCAUGUGCUUACAUUCACCUGCCUGCAUCCCAUCGGUGUUCCACCACCAAGCCGAGUGACAAAAGAUACAAAUCACAUAUCUGACGACGGGGUGGGCAAAGUUGGAGUUCUUCAGGUAGGUGAAAAGUUCUAGAGCAGGUUUUCGCACCAUGACACAGGCUUCCUGGAAGGUCUUAAUCUGAGAACGGGACGAGAAUAAGGAGCCACACGUCAGCACACCACAGCUCUUCCUACUGUGAGCCCAUCUCUGCUGGCGCCAUCCAGGAAAGGCCUCUGAUGGUGCCAAUCAGAGGGAAAUCUCCAUUAUGCCUCAGUCCAUCAUAACACCUUUGCUGCUGCUCGGUACAACCAUCUCUAAGGCACUCACACGAACGUGCUUUAAUGCAGAAGUACCUGCUGCUGGAAACGAUAGGGCAGCCCAUGUGGGAAAACAGCCUUCACCUCCUCCAGAGGAAUGCUGUAAUGGCGACCCUCGUGCUGUUCACUGUGCUGGGCCUGGGAAGGCAAAGAGCAAACUGUGACACCCUGAAGUGUGACUCCCUGUCCCGCACACAAAAGGCUGGGAGGAACCACUCAGUCAAAACAAGCGUCUGCUUACUGACAGUCAGAAGAAGCAGCACAGUAAAGUCAGGCAGGAAUUGUGGUAUUACUGCCAUAGGAAGUCUCCAGGCCACCUGAGCUUGUGCACAAACUGCUGUUUCACAGCCACUGCUGUGCCCUAUGCUUUAUGGAAGUAUCUAACCCUUUCCUGGCCUGCUUCUCCUCCUGAUCACCUGAAUAGCACCGUGAUCCCCCUCAGAGUCGUCUGCUAGACUCAAAUGUACUUUCUUUAAGCCCGGGAGCGGAUCACAUCCCUGGUAUCUGUUCUGUGCAUAAGGAAUGGUUUGACACAGACUGCCAGCCGCUGUGCUUCUGCAUGGCACUGCUCCAGUUUUAUUCUCAGCUUCGUCACUGCUGCAUAACCUCAGGCAAAUUCCUUCCCUCUCAGCUGCCACACCUGCUCAGUGGUUCCCACCUUUAUCACUGCGUUCAGUCACUCUGAGUUCUGCUAACAGAAAACUAUAUGGAAGUGAAGUCUUAUUAAAAAUUUAGCUUUCAUCUGGCCUUCUUAAUCCAUUUUUAAUGGGGCUUUGCUGUACACACGCAGGAGCCCAGUUGGAACGAUGAGGUUUGCUGAUGGAGCAAUCCAGCAGCGCCGCUCCGCUCCGCUCCCCACGCAGUCUGCAGUGCUGCACAGCGAGGAACUGAGCAGGGAAACGAAGCAGCGAUGCUGGUUGUCGCCCAACAUCAGGCACGUGAAGUCAGGAUGCCAAAGCCAGUUGCCCAGCAACGUGGAUUGUAGGCACAGGACAGCAGAGACAAUUCUUGCCAUCUGGACCCUUCUGUGCGAUCUAUAGAGACGCUCGGACCACGUGAGCAAGAUCAUCUGCAUGCUGCUGUUUCCAUAGAGACCCCCGAGGAAUCAGUAUUGAAAGACUCCAAUUACAGAGGCAGCAGAAAAGCAUCUCAAAGGCUGAUUCCAUUCAUUUACCCCACUUCAUUUUGUGCUCGAGACGAAGAGCAUCGGGCUGGAAUAAUGCUGCUGGAGAGCCACGCUGCGCUGAGGCAGACUGCUGAAGCACGCCCAUGAAGCCCAGCCAACACGGCGAGAAAGCAAGGAGCAGAAGGACAAGCACUUUAUUAUGUGAUGGGGAAAGAAAAUAUGAGUGCAAUGAGAUGCAUCUGUCAAUGAAUAAAACAUUUGUAUACGCCAGAGGCUGUGACCAAAGCAAGCAAAACUGAAAGCCACCCUCCAUGUUAUGGACUGGAACAGUUGCAGGCUCUGGCUAUAAACAGA